UGCAAGUCGAGCGGGGGAAGGUAGCUUGCUACUGGACCUAGCGGCGGACGGGUGAGUAAUACUUAGGAAUCUGCCUAUUAGUGGGGGACAACGUUCCGAAAGGAGCGCUAAUACCGCAUACGCCCUACGGGGGAAAGCAGGGGAUCUUCGGACCUUGCGCUAAUAGAUGAGCCUAAGUCGGAUUAGCUAGUUGGUGGGGUAAAGGCCUACCAAGGCGACGAUCUGUAGCGGGUUUGAGAGGAUGAUCCGCCACACUGGGACUGAGACACGGCCCAGACUCCUACAGGAGGCAGCAGUGGGGAAUAUUGGACAAUGGGCGCAAGCCUGAUCCAGCCAUGCCGCGUGUGUGAAGAAGGCCUUAUGGUUGUAAAGCACUUUAAGCGAGGAGGAGGCUUACCUAGCUAAUACCUAGGAUAAGUGGACGUUACUCGCAGAAUAAGCACCGGCUAACUCUGUGCCAGCAGCCGCGGUAAUACAGAGGGUGCAAGCGUUAAUCGGAAUUACUGGGCGUAAAGCGCGCGUAGGUGGCCAUUUAAGUCAAAUGUGAAAUCCCCGAGCUUAACUUGGGAAUUGCAUUCGAUACUGGAUGGCUAGAGUAUAGGAGAGGAAGGUAGAAUUCCAGGUGUAGCGGUGAAAUGCGUAGAGAUCUGGAGGAAUACCGAUGGCGAAGG
RNAcentral lists this ribosomal RNA (671 nucleotides) under uncultured Acinetobacter sp. RNAcentral describes it as "bacterial SSU rRNA". It matches the Rfam family "Bacterial small subunit ribosomal RNA", at positions 56 to 721 of the family's 1533-position model. Lineage: Bacteria; Pseudomonadati; Pseudomonadota; Gammaproteobacteria; Moraxellales; Moraxellaceae. The record is from RNAcentral.